UAACCACUCAAGCCUGGCUUGGUAUUGGAGUUUGCGGUUCUGCAGCUUCUAAAAUCAGUGGCGGUGCCGGUGGGCUCUACGCGUAGUAAUUCUUCUCGCUACAGAGUUCCCCUGGUUGCUUGCCAGAACCCCCAAUUUUUACA
Molecule: unclassified non-coding RNA, 143 nt
Filed under: uncultured Mollisia
Lineage: Eukaryota; Fungi; Ascomycota; Leotiomycetes; Helotiales; Dermateaceae
Description: sequence contains ITS2
Source: RNAcentral